This 348-nucleotide ribosomal RNA is filed under the name uncultured eukaryote. RNAcentral describes it as "LSU rRNA". It matches the Rfam family "Bacterial large subunit ribosomal RNA", at positions 2131 to 2478 of the family's 2925-position model. The record is from RNAcentral.
AUUUUGCGCAGCUUAGGUGGGAGGCUAUGAACCUUUUCUUCUGGGAAGAGGGGAGCCAUCAGUGAGAUACCACUCUUGGUAAGCUAGAGCGCUCAGUCUUCACCGUCAUCCGGUAAGACGACAGUUUCAGGCGGGCAGUUUGACUGGGGCAGUCACCUCCCAAAAGGUAAUGGAGGUGUGCAAAGGUUCCCUCAGGCUGGACGGAAAUCAGCCAUAGAGUGUAAAAGCAUAAGGGAGCUUGACUGCGAGACUGACAUGUCAAGCAGAGACGAAAGUCGGCUUUAGUGAUCCGACGGUGCUGUGUGGAAAGGCCGUCGCCCAACGGAUAAAAGUUACUCUAGGGAUAAC